ACCAGGAUGGCCGAGUGGUUAAGGCGUUGGACUUAAGUUCCAAUGUAUGAAUGUACGCGUGGGUUCGAACCCCACUCCUGGUA
Non-coding RNA from Nematostella vectensis (starlet sea anemone), 83 nucleotides. NCBI's taxonomy places the organism in Eukaryota, Metazoa, Cnidaria, Anthozoa, Actiniaria, Edwardsiidae. The record is from Rfam.